RNAcentral lists this long non-coding RNA (3661 nucleotides) under Brassica napus (rape). Its description in RNAcentral is "long non-coding RNA (BNAP_LNC005316)". The record is from RNAcentral. Lineage: Eukaryota; Viridiplantae; Streptophyta; Magnoliopsida; Brassicales; Brassicaceae.
AUCUUUUGAACAGAGAAAAUUCUGGAGAUUCAUCACCCUCGCUUUCAUUCCCGUCAUCAGCUUUGACAAUGUCUUUCUUGUCGUCAGGCUUUUCCUUAAAGAACUUUUUAAAGAAACCCUCCCUUUCAUCCUCUUCACCAGGUUUAUCAUCAGCAAGCACUGCUCCAUUCGUCUCGUUCUUUUCAUUAGCCUGUCUUUUGUCAUCAGAUUUAUCCUUGAAAAGUUUCUUAAGAAACCCAUCUUUGUCCUCAUCAUCCAUUGCUUUAGGACCUUUCUCUUCCUCGUUUUUGCUGUCACGGAAUAGUUUCUUGAAGAACCCUUCUGAGUUUGCAUUUGAAUCCUCAUCCUCGUUUUUAUUCUCCCGUAAUAACCUCUUGAAAAAACUCUCUGAGUUUGCAUUCAGUUCCUCUUCAUCGCCCUUAUUGUCUCGUAACAGCCGCUUAAACAGCCCAUCUGAACUCGAUGUCAAUUCCUCAUUUUCUCCUUUACUACUUAAGAGCCUCUUAAAGAACCCCUCAGAACUGUUUGUUAUCUCCUCGUCUUCUGAUUUAUUGUCUUUCAUAAGGCGCUUAAAGAAACCCUCCGAGUUAGAUGUUGGCUCAUCACCGUCACCUUUGCUGUCCCUCAUGAGCUUCUUGAAGAAUCCUUCCUUUUCACUCUCUUCAUCAUCUUUGUCAACUGACUUUCUAAACAUCAAAGCAUCUCUAACUUUAGGACUUGGGAUAAGUUUCUUAAAAAUCUUAUUAUCCUCAGAAGGUAAUUGACUACCAUCAUCCUGCGUGCUUCUCCCUGGCGACGGUGAGAACGACAAAGACUUCUGGGAAGGCGGAGAUAAGUUCAACGAGAAGAGCUUCUGUUUCGAUGACAACAGUCUACUUAGGACCUGAUUCUUGCUCCCAGGAGUUGAAACCUCAUUCUGUGGACGCAUAAGAGGAGACCACUCACCCAUCAGAGUAGCUGCAAUCUGACACUUCUCCUGAAUCCUGCUAAUACCUUCAUUAUCAUCAGAAUCCUCCAGCUCAGCCAACAAAAACCAAUGCACUUUCAGCGCAAUCUUCAAUGACUUGCAAAUGAAUUGAGCAUCAGAGUUAUUGCAACAAUUCAAUGACUAAAAAGAGACAUCAUGUAUCAGAUAGAAUUCAAAUGGCGAAAACAUACAGGUAAUUGCCGUCUAUAAGUUAUCAAUUAAGACGCACUCACCCUUACUUCCUCCAUGGCAACAGUACUUGGAACACGACGAUGUUCCUUUUUACGUGGGACUGCUGGAUCAGGAAUACUUUCCAUUCGAAGUCCUGGGUCAGCCGUCACGACCACCCUUACCCACUCAAGAUCAGUGUUGAGACCAGUACUGGGGGCCUCAGACAGAACAUCAUCAAAUGGAUCACUCAGUGAUGCAAGAGCUGAAGUACAAUUCUCCACUGAGAGGCUCACAUUGACAAGCUUCACCUUCACCUCUGACUUGGGAGUCAUUGCUUGAUCAAUUGCUUGGGCAGUGGAUAGCGACAUUCUGUCAGCACUGUUGCGAUAAACCUCCUGAGUUGUCCACAGUGGAUAAGCCCAUGGAGGUGGCUUUUGCAAGAAUGCAUCCCCGUUGGCCAAUGGAAUGCCCCCUUUAGAAAGCUUCUGGGAAUUAGAUGUAUCUUUAGCACUGCCACAACGAAUUCCAAAAACAAAUAGAGCAAUGGGAGAGUGUUAUCAUGUACGUUUUACACUCGAUACGAUUAACGAAACCAAGAAAAGAUGGUAACUUCCUAUAAGAUUUAUCUUUAGCAUUGCCACAACAAACUUCAGAAAAAAGAACAAAGUGAGUAUUAUCAUGUAUAAUUUUACACUUGGAACUAAUAAUGGGGCAUAGAAAAGAAGAUGACUUCCUAGUAAAAGUAAUAGAUAAGUAGACAAGGAUUACAUUUAAGAAAUUUUAUAUUUACCUGGGUGUUUCUGCUUUCAAAACUUCUACGGAGAUCAUGUACGGCGCUUUUUCCCUAGAAUUCAGAAGAAUGGAUUCGUCUUCGGGAAUAUGAACAACACGAUAAACUCCUCUCCCCAUUGGAAAACAAAUUCCUGGAAGGUUAUUGGAAAGAAAAUGAGUAUCUGAUAACAAAGACAGUCACCACAACACAAUCAAUGUAGAUGAUAGAAAAAUACAUGAACCCAAAAAUGCUUCCAAAGGUUGAAGUGUAUAUGCUAAAAGGAUUGGACCACAUGAUUGUCUCAAGGUCAAAGGAAAUCCUAUAUAAGAUAAAUGAUAAAAGAGAACCAAGAACGAGGAAAAAAAUCUCCAAACAAGGGUGGAACGACUGUAUUAUGUUCUGAAAAUCUAAUCAGACAAGACAAGACAAUGACCAACAUCUACCCUACGUGGAACUUGUGUGGACAACAGAAAUAUGAUACAGAGGAGAUACUACUUUUUAAAGACAAGAAACAUGAUGUAGAUCUCAGCAAUAUAGAACGGGCUAAAUGUUUUCACAUACUCUCUCAGAGAAAAGCAUACGUGACCGAGAUAAUGUAUGCCAGCUCAAGAGAUAUGAGUUACACAAGUAAAGUAAACCUCCAAAUGAUAUCCCUUAAGAUCUAAUUUAAGAGAAUACCUCCGGUGAUUUCAGCUUCAGAUAAAUGAAAGUUAAUCUCUGCAAGAGACUAAAACCAAACGGAAGAAACAAGAAAUAUAGUCAGUUGCUUAAAUUUAACACUUGAAACUUAGUCAUAAAAAUGGAAAGUCAGGCAGAAAUGAUCACCUCCCGAAGAGCAAUCUUCCGAUUUUCAAUGGGAAAAAUAUCUACCAAGCCAUACGAUGUUUCACAUAACGCUUGUACAAACUCCAACGACUCAUGGUAAGCCCCUUUCCUGAAGUGUGAUGCGGUAUUGUUUGGUAGUGGGGGCUUACCAGAUGGAGUAUCAUCCCGCUGUCUAGGUGAACCUGGCCGCUUCUGCAAUGGUUACAUUUAGAAAGAUUGGUAUGAGCAGAAUCAAACACAUAUUGCAGUAAAGAAUUUCCGCAUAGAUAAGUAAUCAAUUGCAGUCGAGAACACCCUGUUUCAGCUAAUAUUUGCGUCAAGAAAAUUUCACAAAAAGUCGAGAUAUAUGAUUAUAUCCUACAAGAAUCUUGACAAAUGAAUCUGUAGAUAUGGAUCGGAACAAAGGCGAAUGUAAGGACAGUGCAGAUGACAGAAACAUAACGAGCAAGUCAAAUGAGAGCAAACCUCUUUGUGUUUCUUUGAUCCAAAUAUCUCAGAAUCUUCAACAGACUGGUCACGGUCUCUAAACAAUUUACGGAAAAAGUUCUCCGUCCCAGGACUGCUUUCAGCUAAGCCAUUGCUGGUAUUUCCAUUUUCUGAAGUAGGUUUUGCGUCUUCUGGGUGUAUACGGAAUAAUCUUUUGAACAGAGAAAAUUCUGGAGAUUCAUCACCCUCGCUUUCAUUCCCGUCAUCAGCUUUGACAAUGUCUUUCUUGUCGUCAGGCUUUUCCUUAAAGAACUUUUUAAAGAAACCCUCCCUUUCAUCCUCUUCACCAGGUUUAUCAUCAGCAAGCACUGCUCCAUUCGUCUCGUUCUUUUCAUUAGCCUGUCUUUUGUCAUCAGAUUUAUCCUUGAAAAGUUUCUUAAGAAACCCAUCUUUGUCCUCAUCAUCCAUUGCUUUAGGACCUUUCUCUUCCUCGUUUUUGC